RNAcentral lists this ribosomal RNA (1219 nucleotides) under uncultured bacterium. Its description in RNAcentral is "bacterial SSU rRNA". It matches the Rfam family "Bacterial small subunit ribosomal RNA", at positions 18 to 1232 of the family's 1533-position model. The record is from RNAcentral.
CCUGGCUCAGGAUGAACGCUAGCUACAGGCCUAACACAUGCAAGUCGAGGGGCAGCAUGGGCUUAGCUUGCUAAGCCUGAUGGCGACCGGCGCACGGGUGAGUAACGCGUAUCCGACCUUCCGGCGGCCCGGGUCCAGCCUUUCGAAAGAAAGAUUAAUCCCCGAUGGUGUCAGGCAGUUCCAUGACAGCCUGACUAAAGAAUUAUCGGCCGCCGAUGGGGAUGCGUUCCAUUAGCUUGUUGGCGGGGUAACGGCCCACCAAGGCGACGAUGGAUAGGGGUUCUGAGAGGAAGGCCCCCCACAUUGGGACUGAGACACGGCCCAAACUCCUACGGGAGGCAGCAGUGAGGAAUAUUGGUCAAUGGGCGCGAGCCUGAACCAGCCAAGUAGCGUGGAGGAUGACUGCCCUACGGGUUGUAAACUCCUUUUGCAGGGGGAUAAAGUGUGCCACGCGUGGCAUAUUGCAGGUACCCUGCGAAUAAGCAUCGGCUAACUCCGUGCCAGCAGCCGCGGUAAUACGGAGGAUGCGAGCGUUAUCCGGAUUUAUUGGGUUUAAAGGGAGCGCAGACGGCCCCUUAAGUCAGCUGUGAAAGUUUGCGGCUCAACCGUAAAAUUGCAGUUGAAACUGUGGGGCUUGAGUACGGUCGCGGCAUGCGGAAUUCGUGGUGUAGCGGUGAAAUGCAUAGAUAUCACGAAGAACCCCGAUUGCGAAGGCAGCAUGCCAGCCCGCCACUGACGUUGAGGCUCGAAGGUGCGGGUAUCAAACAGGAUUAGAUACCCUGGUAGUCCGCACGGUAAACGAUGGACACCCGCUGUCGGCGAUAUACAGUCGGCGGCCAAGCGAAAGCGUUAAGUGUCCCACCUGGGGAGUACGCCGGCAACGGUGAAACUCAAAGGAAUUGACGGGGGCCCGCACAAGCGGAGGAACAUGUGGUUUAAUUCGAUGAUACGCGAGGAACCUUACCCGGGCUUGAACUGCGCCUGAAUGUGCCGGAAACGGUGCAGCCGCAAGGCAGGCGCGGAGGUGCUGCAUGGUUGUCGUCAGCUCGUGCCGUGAGGUGUCGGCUUAAGUGCCAUAACGAGCGCAACCCCUUCCGGCAGUUGCCAUCAGGUGAUGCUGGGUACUCUGCCGGUACUGCCAUCGUAAGAUGCGAGGAAGGUGGGGAUGACGUCAAAUCAGCACGGCCCUUACGUCCGGGGCUACACACGUGUUACAAUG